This is a long non-coding RNA of Portunus trituberculatus (swimming crab), 1383 nucleotides long. RefSeq lists it as uncharacterized. Lineage: Eukaryota; Metazoa; Arthropoda; Malacostraca; Decapoda; Portunidae. The record is from RefSeq and is a predicted model, not a curated record. The transcript has 4 exons.
GGUGUGCGGGUGUGAGGGUGUGCGGCUUGUGUGUGUGUUGUGGCAGUGUUUCCUUGGUGUUGCGGUGGUAAUGCCUUGACAGUGUGCAGUGUUUGAUGACAGUGUGUGUGUGUUGUGUGGCAAAGACAAGCCAUGUUGGAGAAGAGCAGAACACGCUGCCGAGAUGAAACACAGUGAGUGAAGGAAGGAAGUGACACAGUGCACCAGUGUGUGGCUCGGCAGUGACGUCACCUUCACUUCACAGACGUGGGUGAAGCGGCAAGGCACAAGGCAGCGGCGGGCCGGCGGGCCGGGGCAGGGCGGCAGCCUUCACCACUACGUACAUGCGUGUCACUCAACAUUUGACGGUGAAGAGUCGUGAUGGUGAGGUGUUACAGGUGUAGCCAGCCGUCCCUAACCUGCAGGACAAGUAGCAGUGACCUGACCCCACCACAACAUGAAAUACCCGGAUGUCAACAAAGGGUCACCUGAGGCCGCUCCUCUUUAUCGGCCAUUAUUUGCUUGUGUGUCAUUUAUUACGAGCCAAACCUGUGGCAAGAUGGAGCUGCCAGCCUGGGCUUCCACACCAGCCCGUCAAACAGAUCCGCCAUCGCCUGGUGUCCGUGUGGCGAAGGUUUGAGUGAGCAAGGUGGCGUCUGGCCGCCGCUGGUGCCGCCGCCAUCUUGGACUGGGUCCGCCUGGGGCAGGUCCUGUGACGUCACGAGUCCCCUCGGCCAGGGAGCCCUGCCCGUGACGUCAUCAGUCCCGCCGCUUCCCGACCAGCCGGCCGGGCUCUGCGGCGCCAUAUUUAGCCUAAUAUACAAGGUUUUCAAGGUGUCUGGGAGUGUUUCUAGACGCAGGCAUCAAGCUGCUGUACUGGGGCCACCCACGCCAGGCAAGACUCCUUCACUUUGAGGGCCUGCUGUCUGAAUCCUCCUCCUGGAACACCAACAGAGGCAAUGGACAGCUGGACGAGGCAAUUUCUCCUGGAGCUGUGUGAGGGUGGCGGAGGAGGUGACAAUGCCUGAUGGAGACAUGGGGGUCUGUAUGCAACACCUGAGGCCAACACCUUCUGCAAUGACCUUAUGAUGUUAGGCAGCUGGAGUCACAGGGGCAGGAGCAGAGGGUAAGCAGGUUAGGAGAGGAGGAGGAGGGAUAGUGAAAGGAAGUGGGCAUAGUAGUGGGUGUUAUGACUAGUUAUGCUUGUGUGUCUAUGAAUAUUUUGCGAGUAAGAGGUAGAGAGUUGGGGAAAUGUAGUUUGAUGAGGGAUAUUAGAAGUUUGUGUGUGUAGUAAGUACUGGGACACAUUUUGACCUUGAGUUUUGUGUACCAUUAGACCAUUUUAUUGACAUUAGGAAAGGUUUAUGGAGGGCAGAUGAUUAAUGGCCACAGUCUUCACUAUUU